CCGCUUGCUACGGGGCUUUUUCCCCCGACGCCCAGCUGCACCUCAGCGGCUUUCUUCCAUCACUUGCCAAUCUCUGUAACAGAGAAAGCCUGAGGCUCAGGACCUCUGAAAGGCAGAGCUGGCGCCGGGGAUGGCAUUGGCUUCCCCUAGCCCACGGGGACCGAGAAUGGGGGACGCUUACCGCGGAAAGUUGCAAGAGCCCAUCCUGGAGAGAAAACACUGAUCCCUGAGGGUGAGAGGUGACAAGGCCAGGUCACUUUUGCCGCUGUCUUGGCUGAGCCCUGAGACUGUCGGCUCCCAUUUAGAACCCUCUCUCUCUUUGAACAUACCCCUAACUUUAUUCCAACCCGGAUUUCUUAUUAUGUGCGUGUAUGUGUAUUUAAUAAUGAUAAAGCACUUGUAUGUCAUAUU
This is a long non-coding RNA of Herpailurus yagouaroundi (jaguarundi), 411 nucleotides long. RefSeq lists it as uncharacterized. NCBI's taxonomy places the organism in Eukaryota, Metazoa, Chordata, Mammalia, Carnivora, Felidae. The record is from RefSeq and is a predicted model, not a curated record. The transcript is spliced from 2 exons.